RNAcentral lists this ribosomal RNA (253 nucleotides) under uncultured bacterium. RNAcentral's name for it is "partial 16S ribosomal RNA". It matches the Rfam family "Bacterial small subunit ribosomal RNA", at positions 524 to 776 of the family's 1533-position model. The record is from RNAcentral.
UACGUAGGGUGCGAGCGUUAAUCGGAAUUACUGGGCGUAAAGAGCGUGUAGGCGGCUCGAUAAGUCCGCUGUGAAAGUCCAGGGCUCAACCCUGGAAGGCCGGUGGAAACUGUCGGGCUAGAGUCCGGAAGAGGCGAGUGGAAUUCCCGGUGUAGCGGUGAAAUGCGCAGAUAUCGGGAGGAACACCAAUGGCGAAGGCAGCUCGCUGGGACGGUACUGACGCUGAGACGCGAAAGCGUGGGGAGCAAACAGG